Long non-coding RNA from Bos taurus (domestic cattle), 410 nucleotides. Lineage: Eukaryota; Metazoa; Chordata; Mammalia; Artiodactyla; Bovidae. The record is from Ensembl.
GUAGACUGAGGCUGUGUUUUGGAAAGUAACAGGUAACAGGCUUGGAUGGGAAGAAUGAGAUAAAGAGAAGAAGAAAUAAGAACAGUUCUUGAGAUUUUUGAAGGUUCUAGGGCUUCUCUGGUGGCUCAGUGGUAAAGAGUCUGCCUUCUAAGGCAGGAGACACAGGUUCGAUCCCUGGUCUGGGAAGAUCCCACAUGCCGCGGAGCAGCUAAGCCCGUGUGCCACAGCUACUGAGCCUGUGCUCCACAUCAGCGGAAGACACCACACUGAGAAGCCCAAGCGCCACAGCUAGAGGGUAGCCCCUGCUCGCCACAGCUAGAGACAAGCCUGAGCAGUAACGAAGACCCAGCAAAGCCAAAAAGAGAUACAUAAGAUUAUAAAAUAAAUAAAUAAAUGUUAUCUCACUUGAA